RNAcentral lists this long non-coding RNA (32439 nucleotides) under Triticum aestivum (bread wheat). RNAcentral's name for it is "long non-coding RNA (TAES_LNC016342)". The record is from RNAcentral. Lineage: Eukaryota; Viridiplantae; Streptophyta; Magnoliopsida; Poales; Poaceae.
UUUUAAAGAUGUCUAUUUCGCAUGUUCAUUCUCACUAGGAAGAAAGCAAGAUCUUUAUACGUACAUGUUUGCAUUUUCCCAUGUGAGGACACUUCUGUGGGCGUUAAUGCGUACACUCAAAAGAGAUUUUUUGGUCAAGAGCUUUGCUAAAGUCAUAUGCAAACUCUGUCAAUGUAUGCAAGGAGUGUGGCCAGGACCAUGCGUGUGCAUUGGUUGUUUGGGACACUGUGUGGAGUGCUAUGCUUCGUGAUGCACACAAUAUAAGCCAAGAAAUCCUAAAACAAUGUGCAUCAACUGUUCAAUUUAUGCAUUUAGAGGCUCUUCGUAAGACAAAAGUUGAUAUUCUCCAUAUGUUGUCUUAACUAUGCUUUCCUGAUCAGCAGAGAAAUCCUGGAAAAACAUGUGCAUCUUCUGUUCAAUUUAUGCAUAUAGAGGCUCUUCGUAAGAUAGAAUAUGAUGUUCUUAUAAUCAUGCUUUCCUGAGAAACCAAUAAAUCCUGAAAAAUGCACAUAUACUUUUCAAUUUAUGCAUCCAAGGCUCUUUGUAAGAUAGAAUAUGAUGUUCUUCAUAUGUCACCUUCAUGCUUUCCCGAAAAGCAUAAGCAUAUAUAGCUGAUAUCACUGUAUAUAGGCCUGGUUUAUUAUUGUGAUCUAUGCAUCGUACCUAUGUGUAGCUCUCUUUUUAGCUAAUUCUUGUUUUACACGCCUCAAUGCGGUUCAAUUCAAUAAAAAUAAUGUGCCCUAUAGUAUUUUUUUCAAUGUGAUGGAACAACAUCCGAGAGGGUCAGCGCUGGACCGAUAGGUGUGUCUAUGUGUUUGUAGAUUAUGUUACCCUUCGAUAUGAUCCUCCAUGGAGAGAAAUUUAUCUUCAUGGGUCAUAGAAAGCAUGUUUGGUCGGUGCUAAUGGGGUUGAUGCUAUGAGUAGUCUCUUCAGAGCUAAGUAUACGAACUUUGAGACAGAAUUUUUUGUGAAAUGCUACCUUCUAAAGGAGGUGCUCAUGGGUCGGUUCCUUGUUUUAGAAAAAUAUCAUCUUACUAUGAUCAUGCUUUUAGAUGUUCUGCUUUAGCAGCAAUGCGUGUUAUCCCUGCAAGAAAGGUUAUUUCGUUACUCAAGUCUUUAUGUGGUUGGGCUCUCUCAGGCAACAGAAAACACACAUUUUGGCAGCGAAUCACACAGCUUUCAGCAGUGAUGUCCAAUAGGUUAUCGUGAAACCCAGCAAAAUUGGAUAAGGAUGCUAAGCUGCUGAUUUUCUGUCAGGUAAAACAAUUGUUUAUGCAAAUGUAUGUUCAGCUCUAUUUUUUUGUCACAAUGUUGAAUUCUCUUUUAAUUUGGUGUUCUCCUUACGGAUGUUCUUUCCUGAGGACCGUCUUAGUUUUGGAUAAACAUCUAUUUUGUUCUCUGAGGAAUAAGUAAUAGCCCUGUCGCGCUUCUAAUGUGUUAUUUCUUUGUUAUUAUUAUGGUAGUACGAACCCAGUUUGUUGUUUGAUUUAUCUAAAUAUAAGAGAACAUGGUUUCCAUACAUUUUAAAUUAUAGAACAUGUUAGCUUAAUUGUGGGCUAAAAUAUAUAGGUAAAAGGUGUAUCUGAUGUGACAAAGGUUUGUAUGAUUUCCGCCAUCUUUUGUACAGACUACUCUGUUAUGCUAACAAAAUGCUGGAAGGGCAACGCUUUGUAUAAUCAGCAGGCAUGCCCGCCUGAAUUGGGUGCCAUGUUUCCUUGCAAUAAAGGACUUUCUGAUACACUGGAAAAGUAGCUUAUAAAAUUGAAACCAGAGUUUGCUAAUUGAUUUAUAAAGGACUUUGUGCGUUUAGAGUUUGAAAUUGAUAGACAACGAGGAAUGACCAAGAUCACUCUACUUUUUUGCUUCAUCUUGCAGUACAAUAAUGAUAUGCUAUAUUAUUAGCAUUAGUAUUUGGAAUAAACAAUCCCUUGGUUCUUAAGGUAUUUAGAUGGAUAGUUUUUCAAAUUGCAUGGUUCUUCCAUUUCUAGAAUUAUCUUUUUCUUGCAUUAUAUUUUAGAAUAGACAACUCUUACAUUUUAUGUUUUUUUGCCAAAUGGAUCCUCCUACUAUAUAUGCUUGCCUUAUUUAGAACAUAUACAGUAGUAUGUCAUGAGCAUAUGGCAUCGUUGCUCUUACUUGGUUGUAUACAAAUUUAUCACAAUAUUUCCCUUUAUGGUGCAUAUUUGAUUUAGUCUAGUUUAGUCCUCACAUAUGUUCAUCUUCUUGUUCAUCAGAUUUGGUAAGAGACUGAUGCUGCUGUGACCAUAAGUGCCGGUGAUUUAUGUACAUGCACCGACCCAACUAAAGCAAGCAUUGAAUUUUGUAGCUUCUUCCUAGGUAAGUAUAAUGUGCGCUCAUCUUUGCAUAGUUUUUAUAUAGAUAUAAUUUUGUAAUAUACAUGACCAAGUUGGGCCACAUGACUCACCAAAUAGUAUUUGUUGUGUCUUGAACUGUUAUUUAUACAUAUUUUUCAUAUGUAUUGAUCUGAAUAGAAAGGUCACAUUUGCAUUUUGGUUCUGUAUAUAUAGUACUUUCACUGAUAUUUUUUUCCUAUACAAACAUACAAGGCGCAAGCAUUGGGAGAAUCAAAUUCACCAAAGUUUGAAGGAGCUCAUCCAUCCAUUGAGAGCAUUUCAGCUUUCCACAUGCCAUAGAUUAAUCCAUCUGUUUUAGUUGCAUCAGAUACUCCAUCCUUCAAUUGUAUUGCCAAUGUCACUUACACAUAUGUAACUAAUAGAAAAUAGGACAUUGGAAGGAUAUCACAUGAUGACCCACAAGUAUAGGGGAUCAAUAGAAGUCCUUUCGAUAAGUAAGAGUGUCGAACCCAAUGAGGAGCAGAAGAAAAUGACAAGUGGUUUUCGGCAAGGUAAUUUCUGCAAGCACUAAAAUUGUAGGUAAUAGGUAGUUUGAUAGCAAGAUAAUUUGUAAUGAGCAAGUAAUGGUAAUGGUAAAUAAAGUGCAGCAAGGUAGCCCAAUCCUUUUGUGGCAAAGGACGGGCCAAGACGGUCUCUUAUAAUAAGCAAAGCGUUCUUGAGGGCACACGGAAAUUUCACCAUGUCACUUUCAUCAUGUUGGUUUGAUUCGUGUUCGCCACUUUGAUAAUUUAAUAUGUGGGUGGACCGGUGCUUAGGUGUUGUACUUACAUGAACAAACCUCCUACUUAUGAUUAACCCCCUCGCAAGCAUCCGCAACUAUGAGAAAAGUAUUAAGAUAAAAUCUAACCAUAGCAUUAAACAUAUGGAUCCAAAUCAGUCCCUUACGAAAUAGUGCAUAAACCAGGGUUUAAGCUUCUGUCACUCUAGCAACCCAUCAUAUAACAACUACUCCACAAUGCAUUCCCUUAGGCCCAAAGAUGGUGAAGUGCCAUGUAGUCGACGUUCACAUGACACCACUAAGGGAAUCACAACAUACAUAUCAUCAAAAUAUCAAACACAUAUCAACUUCACAUGAUUAAUUGCAACAUGACUUCUCCUGUGACCUCAAGAACAAAAGUAACUACUCACAAAUGAUAAUCAUGCUCAAUAUCGGAGGGGUAUUAAAUAGCAUAAUGGACCUGAACAUAUAAUCUUCCACCAAAUAAACCAUAUAGUAAUAAACUACAAGAUGUAAUCAACACUCCUAGUCACCCACAUGUACCAAUCUGAGGUUCUGGUAAAAAGAUUGAACACAAGAGAUGAAAUAGGGUUUGAGAGCAGAUGGUGUUGUUGAAAAUGUUGAUGAAGAUUGCCCUCCCCAUGAUGAGAGAGUUGUUGGUGAUGACGAUAGCUUCGAUUGCCCUCCCCAUUUUGCGUCACUUGCCUAUCGAGACCAGCCAUUGAGUAUUGCUGGCAACGUUACUUAUGCACAUUAGUGAUCUGUACCUUCCAUUGCAUACAUACCAUAUUAUAUUGGUAUCAUCAUAUCAUCCCUUGUGUGACAAGAUUGUUCCCGCAUAUACAUAAUCUAUCUUGGUUUGUGCAUUUCGCAUAAGUGGCCAUACAAAAAAAAGAGAGAAUAAGCUUUUAAGAAAAAAAAAGAAAAAGAGAGCAAAGAGCUUGUAAGCAAUAGCCAUAGCAUCAUACCACAUUGCACAUAAUAUUUUCAUAUCUGAUCAUCUUGGAUCAUCUUGAGAAGAACACCGGGAACAUCAUACACAUAGCAUUCUUGAGAUAGAAGGCUCAUACAUUUUGCAUCUUAUAGGUUGUGCACAAGUGUCGUAUCCGCUUAUGGAGCAAUCGUGCUAGCGUCCCUCUUGAGUUGUGCAACACGAGCGUUUUCCGUGGAUUCCAAAUUUUGUGCUCAUUCCUUGGUUGCACGACCCCAUUUAUCUAUUCGUGUGUGUGUGUUCCUGUGUGCCACCCAUUGCUAUUGGUCUACCUGUUUCACUUGUGUAUUUGUGAAUCUUUUCCAACAUUAUUGACUCUUGCUAACAUUUUGCAUCAAAUUUUUGUGCCACUAUCCUCACUGAGCUCCACCAUAAUCUUUACUUGUGUAGGUGUGAGAAUUGACAAGAUCUGGUACCCAUUGUGCUAUUUCCUUCGUACAUUGUUGAGUGAUCAUUGAUCCAUCUUCAACAUUGGAAAGAUACAUUUGGUCUAGUUCUUUCCUUUCUUCCACUCAUGUUUGCUCGAGUCUUGUGAUGGAUAGGCAAGGCAUUUCAUCUCUGGUCUUGCACGACAAUGACAGCGCGAACAACUACAUCACCAAAACGUCCACCUUCGGACUACAACAAGCAGUGCAAGGCAUUGAGCGACUCGCCAUCGACAUUCGCCAAAACGAAGCAAAGAAAAGGGACUAUAUCGACACCAGGUUGGACGAACAAAUGGAUCAAGUACGAGACUUGGUGGCCAAAUACAAGUCUUCUUCCCCUUCGUCAUCUUCAUGGCGGAGACGCUCAAGUCGCACACCUUCGGAGCGGCCACAAGAUGCAAGUACCACGCGGCACCAUCAAGAAAACCUUCAUGAGCACAAGAGAAGACUACGAGACGAGAACCAACAAGACGGAGCUACGACUACUACCACCACUUCGGCAUCUUCGCCAAGGUUUAUCAAGGCAUCUUCACCUUUGGACGUAUGGCAUUUUCACCUAUCUCUGACGAGUACUUCUACAUCGUCCGUCAUCCACGGCGACGGUGACGAGAUGAUCGAGCAUGGGAUUUUCCCUUCGGUCAUGGAGGAGAGUGAUGAUGUGCCAUCUACGGCCUUCAUCCACGACGAGAGUGAUGAUGUGCCAUCUUCGGCCUUCAUCCACAACGAGAGUGAUGAUGUGCCAUCUUCGGCCUUCAUGCACGGCGACAGUGAUAAGAUGAUCGAGCAUGGGAUUUUCCCUUCGGUCAUGGAGGAGAGCGAUGAUGUGCCAUCUUCGGCCUUCAUCCACGGCUACGAGAUGGUUGCGCAUGGGAUUUUCCCUUCGACCACAGCGAUGUAUGAUGACUUGAGUGACUUAUGCAACCAUAUUGAAAGUGAGAGUGCCUUCACCACUAGCCCCAUAUAUGACAAGUUGCCCCAAUUCUCAUGUGAGGAGAGCCACCACCACCACCACUUGAGUGAUUUGAGUGACUCCACCAUAUGUGACAUUGAGUGCACCUACCUCGAGGGAGUGAGUGAGCCACCACCACAUAGAGAGAGUGAGGUUAUUUCGAUUUCUAACAACUUAACCUCGACCUCUAUUGUGUCUUCUCAUUUGGUGCUAGGUCCCAUAUAUGAUGACGCACCAAUUCGCGACGACUUCGUCCUUCCUUUGGACAAGACGAUGGCCAUGGUGGAAUAUGAUGCACCCCCCCCCCACAUGGUUCCAUCAAGUUGAUGAUGAUGACCACCAUUUGGUCUUUGCCACCUCACCUACACCACAUGAGUGGAAUGUGUAGAACCUUGAAGUAUGUCUAGAGGGGGGGUGAUUAGACUACUUGACCAAUUAAAAACUUAACCUUUUCCCAAUUUUAGAGUUUGGCAGAUUUUAGCUAUCUUAGGACAAGUCAAGCAAUCAUCACACAAUUCAAGCAAGCAUGCAAAGAGUAUAUAGGCAGCGGAAAUUAAAGCAUGCAACUUGCAAGAAAGUAAAGGGAAGGGUUUGGAGGAUUCAAACGCAAUUGGAGACACAGAUGUUUUUGGCGUGGUUCCGAUAGGUGGUGCUAUCGUACAUCCACGUUGAUGGAGACUUCAACCCAUGAAGGGUCCACGAAGAAGCAAUCUUGUCUAUCCCACCAUGGCCGUCGCCCACAAAGGACAUGCCUCACCAGCGGUAGAUCUUCACUAAGUAGGCGAUCUCCUUGCCCUUACAAACUCCUUGGUUCAACUCCACAAUCUUGUCGGAGGCUCCCAAGUGACACCUAGCCAAUCUAGGAGACACCACUCUCCAAGAAGUAACAAAUGGUGCGUUGAUGAUGAACUCCUUGCUCUUGUGCUUCAAAUGAUAGUCUCCCCAACACUCAACUCUCUCUCAUAGGUUUUGGAUCUGGUGGAAAGAAGAUUUGAGUGGAAAGCAACUUGGGGAAGGCUAGAGAUCAAGAUUCAUAUGGUAGGAAUGGAAUAUCUUGGCCUCAACACAUGAGUAGGUGGUUCUCUCUCAGAAAUGGUAAGUUGGAAGUGUAGGUUCGUUCUAAUGGCUCUCUCCACGAAUGAAGAGGAGGUGGAGGGGUAUAUAUAGCCUCCACACAAAAUCUAACCGUUACACACAAUUUACCAAACUCGGUGGGACCAAAUCAUCAAACUCGGUCGAACCGAUUUAGUAAACCUAGUGACCGUUAGGAUUAUUGGUGGGACCGAAAUGCAAAUCGGUAGGACCGAUAUGUUUAGGGUUAGGGCAUAACAUAAUCUCGGUAAGACCGAUUACACAAACUCGGUAGGACCAAUUUUGGUAAUAAGCUUUCAGAAGAGUUGGUCAGGUAAACUCGGUGGGACCGAUUUGCUUUGUUCGGUGAGACCGAAAUGUUACAAAAGGGAAAUAGAGAGUCUACAUUGCAAUCUCGGUGGGACCGAUCGCUCACUUCGGUUAGACCAAAACGUUACGAAGGGAAACAGAGAGAUUACAAUCCCAUCUCGAUGAGACCGAGAUCCCUAUCGGUAGGACCGAUUUGCCUAGGGUUUGUGGCAGUGGCUAUGACAUUAGAACUCGGUGGCGCCGGAUAGGAAGAAUCGGUGUGACUGAUUUUGGCUUUAGGUUUAGGUCAUUUGUGGAUGUGAGAAAGUAGUUGAGGGUUUUUGGAGCAUAUCACCAAGCACAUGAAGCAAGAGGCUCAUUAAGCAACACCUCAUCCCUCCUUGAUAGUAUUGGCUUUUCCUAUAGACUCAAUGUGAUCUUGGAUCACUAAAAUGUAAAAUGAAGAGUCUUGAGCUUUUGAGCUUGAGCCAAUCCUUUGUCAUUAGUAUUUUGAGGGAUCCACUUUCAUCAUCCAUGCCAUGCCAUUCAUUGAGCUUUCCUGAAAUAAUAGUCUUGGAAUAGUAUUAGCUCAAUGAGCUAUAUGUUGUUAUGAAUUACCAAAACCACCUAGGGAUAGAUGCACUUUUAAUCUCCCCCUUUUUGGUAAUUGAUGACAACAUAUAGAUCAAAGCUUCGACAAAUGAUAAUUAGAUUGAAAAACAUCGUCGCUUUGAGAAGUAUGUGAUAAGCAAGAGCUCCCCCUAAAUUUGUGCAUAGUUUAAGAUUUGCUUUGGACUGCAAAUGCACAAGGAAUUAGGCUCAUGGGUUACUCUUCCAUGUCACAUACAUCUUGGUGGAGCGCUCAAAAUGAUAAAGAUUGAAUACAUGCACUCAUCACCAAGAAAAGUGAAUGAUCAUAUAUGGAUAGGUAAGAUAAUAUCAUCAAACAUGCAUAAGUGUAGCUUAUGAUCGAACACAUGAUCAUCAAUGUCUCACAAAAACAGCAUAGUAUCUCAAGCAAUCAAAAGCAAACAAAGUUUAACCACCAAAGCAAGAGAGAACAAAAGCAACACACUCUCUCUCUCUCUCUCGAAACCUAUGAUCUAUAUAUUUUUCUCCCCCUUUGGAAACAAGUUACCAAAAAGUUCAUAGAAAAUGCAUAGUGCUAGAUCGACUCUCAGGCUUGAUCUUCAGGUGGUGGUGUCCGGAGAACUCCAAGAAUGAAGGCUUCAGUUGAAGUAGAGGGAGCUGGAGGAGUUGGUGCUGGAGCUGGUUGCACUGGAGCUGUAGGAGCUGUAGCUGGUGCAGAUGAUGUGGCUCUGGUGUCUGCACAGGCACUGCAGCUGACCUCUGAGCUCUAGGCACUCUGGCAAAUACAUUAGUGGUAGUCUUGCCCUUCCUCUCCUGUAUGUCAUCCUGUAGCUGCUCCACAACUGACCGAAUCUCAGUUACCUUGACAUCUAGAUCAUAGAAUUUUUGUUCCAUGAUUCUUUCCAAGCUCUUCUGAUUUUGAGUGAGGGUGGCCAAUCCCUUCUCAAUCCUCAAUGUUGAUGCUAUCAAGUAACCAAGCUGCUCCUGCUUGUUCUUCAGAAAGUACUCAAAUGCCUCCUCUUGAGUUGGCAUCUUGGCAGCCUUCUCUCUCUUUGCCUUCUCCUUCUUCUCUUGAGCUUGUACUGAUGAUGGUUCAUUCUCAUUCAUGACAACCUGAUUGUCCUCAAAGUCUGGAGAAAGAGGAAAAUGUUCCUUAUCCAAUAGAUAUUUUCUUGUGCCCAUCUUUGAGUUAAUCAACUCCUGAAUCUGAGGGGCAUAUCCACAUCUUCUCUUUUGAUCUACUGCAGUCCUCUUAAUGGUUUCAACCAUACGGCUCAUGACCUUGAAUUUCUGUGGCACAUCAAACAAAUGCAACAUGUUGAUUGCAUGCCCUCUAAUCAUGUUGUGGUCACUAGACUUAGGCAACAGAGUGUGCCUUAGGAUGCAGUUGAUCGUUGGCAGCCCUGACAGAAGAAAGUGGACUGAUCCAAACUUAUGUGUCUCAAUGGCUUUGUCUGGGAUCUCCUUGUACAUGUGUGCCAUGGAAUUGUGGUCCAUCUUCUUCUUGGCAUAGACAUCCAAGUCAUCUUCACUCUCCUUUGGGGCAUUGAUCAGUUUUGCCCACUCCUCAACGGUUGAUUGGUACCUUGUACCUUCAGACAUCCAAACUAUCCUCCCAUCUGGAUAGAAGUGUGCUGUGGAGUAGAAUUGCAUAAUGAGUUCAUCAUUCCAGUUGGUGAGCUUUUGCCCAACAAAAUCUGCAACUCCACAAGCAACAAAACUGUCUUGCACUCCAGGAUAGUGUUCUUAAUUUUCCUUCAUGUAGGCCCAGUCGACCCACCUCAUAUCACACACUAUGGGCUUCUUGUCCAACAAAAUUGUCUCAUAGAAGUCAUGUUGUUCCUUUGUAUGGAACCUGUAAUCAACAGCAGUCCUUCUCCUUGUGGCAUAUGGAUCUGUCAUCCUCCAUAGCCUCAACCCUGAGCUCUUCUGAUAUUCAUGUCCUCAGCCACAGGAUGGGCAUCAUUAUGGUUUGGUAUCUUGGGCUUUAGCUUCCUUAGGACUUGUCCUUCUUCAUCUUCCUCAUCAGCAACUUGAGGCACUGGGGCCUUGUUCUUCUCAGCAGCUGGAAUACUCCUGGUAUUCCUCUUUGGUGCAAGCUUGGCCUUGGGGGCGGCUUUGGGUGCUUCCUUGGGCUUUGAUGUUGCAGCCCCUGACUUAAUUGCAUCACCCAUAAGCUUUUGUGCCUUGGGUGCUGGUGCAGCAACCUCUUCUUCCUCUUCAGAGUCUCUCCUCAUUGAGGGAUUUCCAAGAACCUGGGCAGUAGUGGUUCUGGCUCUCUUCUUCUUCUUAUCCUGAGCAGCAGCUUCAUCUUCUGAUUCAAUUGCAAACUUCAUGGUUUCUCCAGUGGGAACUUUCUUGGGUUUGGAAGUUGUGACUCUCUUUGCAGGUGCCUCUUUGGGAUCAUACUUCUCAGGCACUUGAGUAGAUCCUCUGACCUUCAACAUAGGUGUCCUCUUGGCAGGAACCCUCCUAUUGAGUCCAGGCUUAGUGGUCUUGGCUGAGCCAUACUCCUUCUUGAGCACUACCUUCUUGGAAGUAGCCUCAUCCUCUUCUGCUCUAUAAUCCUCAUCCUCAGAAUCUGAGGUUCUCUUCUUCCUUGUCUUGGUGGCAGCUUUAGGCAGGUUGCUUGGGGUGCUCCUGCUGUCUUCAUCUGAAGUGCUAGAGGGACUAGUGCCCUCACUCAUGUGCAUCUGCUCUUCUGACAUGUUCUAACUAUCACUUUGGUCUGACAUGCUGCAAAUCACUGACUGCUAACCCUGUGAAGAGUUAUAGAUGAGAUAGAGUUGAUGAGCAUCACAAAAUGCAGAGAUUUUUGCAAAAGAAUGAUUCAAAAAUUCAGUUUUAGUUUUCCAUAGAAAGCAUUUCGGAUCAACCGAUUUUCAAACUCGGUGAUACCGAAGCAGUUUUAGAACCUAAAAUGAUGAACUCGGUUGGACCGAGUCACAGUUCGGUGGCACCGAGACUGCUAGGGUUUCCCAAAGUCCUAAAAUCGGUCUCACCGAUUAGCAAUUCUCGGUCAGACCGAGAGUUACUAGUGCAAUGGCGUUAGCCAAAUCGGUGGGACCGAGUUUUUCAACUCGGUGGGUCCGAGAUAGUUUCGGCGGAAACCUAACCCUAAAUUUUCAAAUCUCAUCUAAUCUAAGGAUUGCAUUGACUAGAUAGGAGUGUUUCAAUCGUGGCAAGAAUCAUUAAGAACGCAAUGUGCUAGGAAUCGGACGAGGAUAGCACUAUGAUCGAGUUCAUACCCUAGCUUGGCGAUGAACUCGCUACGGCGGCAAUGGCGGGGGUUAAAUCCAUUGACGGCGGCGAAGACUAGCGACAGGAGGCGGCUGGCGAUGAGGAGACGAUCCGGACACCCUGAUGGCAGAGCGAGCUAUUGCGCGGGCGAAGAGGUUCGGAGAAAUUUCCAAAUUUUUUCCCGUAACUAUAUAUAGCCCGACCCUGUCAGUGUGACCGAGUGGAACAACUCGGUGGCACCGAGAUGCAUAACUGUGUACAGUUACAGCAACUCGGUGUGACCAAAAAGUUGAAAUCGGUUGCAUCGAGAUUGAAAACCUAGAUCAACUUAGUGAUCUCGGUGUGACCGAAAUGAAGGAAUCGGUCAGACCGAUAAUCACAAAGAAGUUUUGGAAGUUUAAGUCUAUGACGAAUCGGGGACUCCGAGUGCUCCUCACACAGAGUGGUUCGAAUCUGACUUGAUCAAAUUUUGUGAUGUAGCAUGAAUAGAGUUUGAGACGAGAAAAGCAUAGAUAGCAAGAGAAGGUUCUUAGGCAUUCUUGUCCAUCCACUUGGCAAAAAGAAAAAGAACCAAACAAUCAAAACAACAAGUGGAUGUCCUUGAAUGAGUAAAAUAUGCACCAACAUGCUCACACAAUAAGAUGGCAAAUGAAAUAUGUGGCAAAACAUGCACAACCAAUUCUAGCAUCUAUCAAAACAAUUGGCGAUGAAUAGGUCAUCUAUAUAUGAGUAUAUUGACUUAGGAGUCAAAUGAAAACAUUUGAUCAUAAUGCAUUCAUGUGUUCACACCAUUAGAGUUGCUUUGACUCAAUUCUUAGAGUUAAGCUCCCCCUAGAUGUGAGAUCCCCUUUUAGAGGGAUGAACUAACCUUGGGUUUUGUCGAUGAUGACUUCAUGUAGGUGUUGAAGAUGUGGAUGCUCAAUGUUGAUGUAGAUCAUUUGGAGCAAUCCUUUGGAGUGAGUUGCACUUUCAACAUACCUACAUGGGUUAGUCCCACAAGGAACAAACAAGAAUAUCCAUAGACAUAGAGUGAUGCACACACAAGAUAAUAUCCAUGAAAUCAUUAGGUUACCUUGUCCCUUGCCUUACCAACAUGAGGGUUUGUGACUCCUUGAACUAGUGCAAGAUGUGGAAGUUGAUUGCACUUGUUCUUGCCAUAAUGAUAUGAGUGAAGAAUGUUGGCGGAGUCACCCUCAAGAACUCUCUAGUUCUUCUUCUUCGGGAUCCACAUCAUCUUGAUGGGAAUCCUUGGAGUUGUAGUUGUACUUGAUGAAGUAGAACUUGACGUAGUCUUGGGAACCCACUUGACCGAGACCUUAGGUGCUUCUUAAAAUGCAUCAAUCUCUUCUUGAAGCUUGUCCUUGCCUUUGUUCUUGUGGUCUUGUGGUGUAAGAUCAUCUUGUGCUUGUGUUCCUUUGAAGGAAGUAGGGUCAUACUUCUCUUGUUGAGGAACAAACUUCGUCUUGGGGUAUUGAUCUUCUUCCCACUCAACUCCAUUGGCAUUGAACUUUCGUUCAAAACCAACACCUUGAUUCUUUCGGUGCCUUCCUUGCUUGCGUACAAUUUCCUCGAAUUGCUUACUCCCGGCAAGGCUCUUGUAAACACCUUUCUCUAUAAUUCCCUUAAAUAAGCUAUUUUCUUGCUCAAGUGUAACUUGGCUAAGAGAUUCAUUAGUGGAAUCAAGAGAACUACUAGAAGCAACAAUAUUGGAUUUGACAUUAUUAUUGUUACUACUAGAGGAAGUAUCUUUCUUGUACUUGUUACUAGACUUGACUUGAGGCAUGUAAGUAGAUAAGAGUAAACACUUGGCAAUGUAAGAAGAACUUUUCUUACGGAGAUCAUCAUUGAUUGCUUUUAAGAACUCAUGCUCUUGCUCAAGAUUGAGCUUUUCAAAGCGUAACUUCUCAUGAGCCCUUAAAAGUUCUCGAUGAUCUUCGAAGAUAGUUUCAUGAGCUAACUUAAGAGUGUUUAGUUCUUUAGUUAGAAGCUCAAUCUUCUCCUUAUCAUUGUCAUUCGUUUUAUCUUGAUUAGCAUGAUUAAUUGACGUUUCAUCAUAGUAUUCAUCACUAGAGUUGUCAACAAGUAAAUCAUCAUCCACAAGCAAGUCAUCUUCAUCACUAUUGAAAUCAACAUACUCGGGAUGUGUUACCUUUGGACCUUUCGCCAUGAAGCAUCUUCCAAUUCCUUCAUUUGGUGAAUCAAAUAUGUUGUAGGAGUUGGUUGACACAAGUGCUAGACCGGCAACACCUUCAUCUUGAGUAUAUUCGGAGCCAGAGUGAUAGCUUUUCUCGGAGUGAGUGUCGGAGUCGGAUCCGGAUACCCAUUCACCAACAUGAGCUUGAUGUCUUCGUUUUGUGUAGCUCCUUGAUGACUUGUCCUUCCUUUCCGAAUCCUUGCUUCUCCGUGAGGGUCUUUGUUCAUAAUGAUCAUCUCUACUCCUCCUCUCUCUUGGUGGUGAUUCUUCUCUUUUGCUUCUUCUUUUUGGAGAAUCUUCUCUUCUUUUGUAGGGUGCCGUACACUCAUUGGAAUAGUGUCUGGGUCUCCCACAAUUGUAGCAAUUUCGCUCUCGACUAGAAGAUCUUUUGUCAUUGUAAGACCUUGACUUGGAGCUUCUUUCUUUGCUUCUAUUCUUGUAGAAUUUGUUGAAGUUCUUCACCAUUAAGCUCAAUUCUUCAUUGAAGGUUUGUUUCUCACUUGAUGAUGUGGGGGCUUCACAUGAGGCUUUGUAAGCACCACUUGACUUGUUGUGAAGUUCCUCCUUAUCCUUAAGUGACAUCUCAUGAGCAACAAUUCUUCCAAUGACUUCCGUUGGCUUGAGAUCUUUGUAGUUUGGCAUCAUUUGGAUCAAUGUGCACACGGUAUCAUACUUUCCAUCCAAUGCUCUUAGGAUCUUCUUGAUGAUGAAUCUGUCGGUCAUCUCUUCACUCCCUAAGCCGGCAAUCUCAUUUGUGAUAAGUGCAAGCCUAGAGUACAUUUCAGCGAAACCUUCACCAUCCUUCAUUUUGAACUUGUCAAGCUGACUUUGGAGCACAUCCAACUUGGAUUCCUUGACGAAGUCGGUACCUUCAUGCAUAUCAAUCAAAGUAUCCCAAAUUUCCUUUGCAUUCUCAAGACGGCUGAUUUUGUUGAAUUCUUCGGGGCACAAUCCAUUGAAGAUGAUAUCACAAGCUUGAGCGUUGUAUUGCAGCAUCUUCAAUUCUUCCGCAUUAGCUUCACGGUUCGGCUCUCUCCCAUCAAAGAAUUCACCUUGCAAGCCAAUACAAAUAAUUGCCCAAACGGCGGGGUUAUGUCCGAGAAUAUGCAUUUUCAUCUUAUGCUUCCAACUAGCAAAAUUAGUACCAUCAAAGUAAGGACCUCUACGGUGAUAAUUUCCCUCACUAGACGCCAUACUCUCCUAGGUUGUGAAACCAAGGCUAUGACCACCAAAAGCUAUGGAAAUCAAAGCAAAUGGAGACCAAAGCUCUGAUACCACCUGUAGGACCUUGAAGUAUGUCUAGAGGGGGGGUGAUUAGACUACUUGACCAAUUAAAAACUUAACAUUUUCCCAAUUUUAGAGUUUGGCAGAUUUUAGCUAUCUUAGGACAAGUCAAGCAAUCAUCACACAAUUCAAGCAAGCAUGCAAAGAGUACAUAGGCAGCGGAAAUUAGAGCAUGCAACUUGCAAGAAAGUAAAGGGAAGGGUUUGGAGGAUUGAAACGCAAUUGGAGACACGGAUGUUUUUGGCGUGGUCCCGAUAGGUGGUGCUAUCGUACAUCCACGUUGAUGGAGACUUCAACCCACGAAGGGUAACGGUUGCGCGAGUCCACGGAGGGCUCUGUUGGGGAAUGUUGCAGAAAAUUAAAAUUUUUCCUACGGUUUCACCAAGAUCCAUCUAUGAGUUCAUCUAAGCAACGAGUGAUAGGAGUGCAUCUACAUACCCUUGUAGAUCGCGAGCGGAAGCGUUCAAGAGAACGGGGAUGAUGGAGUCGUACUCGCCGUGAUCCAAAUCACCGAUGACCAAGUGCUGAACGGAUAGCACCUCCGCGUUCAACACACGUACGGAGCGGAUGAAGUCUCCUCCUUCUUGAUCCAGCAAGGGGGGAGGAGAGGUUGAGGAAGAAGACUCCAGCAGCAGCACGACGGCGUGGUGGUGGUGGAGAAGCAGUACUACGGCAGGGCUUCGCCAAGCAACGGCGGGAGGAGGAAGAGGUGUAGCAGGGGGGGAGGCGCCAAGACUCAGGGGUGCGGCUGCCCUCCCUCCCCCCUCCUUUAUAUAGGCCCCCAAGGGGGGUAGCCGGCCCUAGAGAUGGGAUCUCUAGGGGGGCGGCGGCCAAGGGGGGUGGAGUGCCCCCCAAGGCAAGUGGAGGCGCCCCCUCCCCUAGGGUUCCCAACCCUAGGCGCAGAGGGGGGGCCAGGGGGGCGCACCAGCCCAACAGGGGCUGGUCCCCUCACCACUUCAGCCCACGGGGCCCUCCGGGAUGGGUGGACCCACCCGGUGGACCCCCGGGACCCUUUCGGUGGUCCCGGUACAAUACCGGGUGACCCUGAAACUUUCCCGAUGGCCGAAACAGCACUUCCUAUAUAUAAAUCUUCACCUCCGUACUAUUCCAGAACUCCUCGUGACGUUUGGGAUCUCAUCCGAGACUCCGAACAACAUUCGGUAAUCACAUAUGAAUCUUCCUAAUAACCCUAGCGUCACCGAACCUUAAGUGUGUAGACCCUACGGGUUCGGGAAUCAUGCAGACAUGACCGAGAUAGCUCUCCGGCCAAUAACCAAUAGCGGGAUCUAGAUACCCAUGUUGGCUCCCACAUGAUCCAUGAUGAUUUCAUCGGAUGAACCACGAUGUCGAGGAUUUGAUCAACCCUGUAUACAAUUCCCUUUGUCAAUCGGUACGUUACUUGCCCGAGACUUGAUCGUCAGUAUCCCAAUACCUCGUUCAGUCUCGUUACCGGCAAGUCACUUUACUCGUACCGUAAUGCAUGAUCCCGUGACCAAACACUUGGUCACUUUGAGCUCAUUAUGAUGAUGCAUUACCGAGUGGGCCCAGAGAUACCUCUCCGUCAUACGGAGUGACAAAUCUCAGUCUCGAUCCGUGUCAACCCAACAGACACUUUCGGAGAUACCUGUAGUGCACCUUUAUAGUCACCCAGUUACGUUGUGACAUUUGGUACACCCAAAGCACUCCUACGGUAUCCGGGAGUUACACGAUCUCAUGGUCUAAGGAAAGGAUACUUGACAUUGGAAAAGCUCUAGCAAAUGAACUACACGAUCUUGUGCUAUGCUUAAGAUUGGGUCUUGUCCAUCACAUCAUUCUCCUAAUGAUGUGAUCCCGUUAUCAACGACAUCUGAUGUCCAUAGUCAGGAAACCAUGACUAUCUUUUAAUCAACAAGCUAGUCAACUAGAGGCUUACUAGGGACAUAUUAUGGUCUAUGUAUUCACACGUGUAUUACGAUUUCCGGAUAAUACAGUUAUAGCAUGAAUAAAGACAAUUAUCAUGAAUAAGGAAAUAUAAUAAUAACCUUUUAUUAUUGCCUCUAGGGCAUAUUUCCAACAAUCUCCCACUUGCACUAGAGUCAAUAAUCUAGUUACAUUGUGAUGAAUCGAACACCCAUAGAGUUCUGGUGUUGAUCAUGUUUUGCUCGCGAGAGAGGUUUAGUCAACGGAUCUGCGACAUUCAGAUCCGUAUGAACUUUGCAAAUAUCUAUGUCUCCAUCUUGAACAUUUUCACGGAUGCAGUUGAAACAAUGCUUGAUGUGCCUGGUCUUCUUGUGAAACCUAGGCUCCUUGGCAAGGGCAAUAGCUCUAGUGUUGUCACAGAAGAGUUUGAUCGGCCCCGACGCAUUGGGUAUGACUCCUAGGUCGGUGAUGAACUCCUUCACCCAAAUUGCUUCAUGUGUUGCCUCUGAGGCUGCCAUGUACUCCGCUUCACAUGUAGAUCCCGCCACGACACUCUACUUGCAGCUGCACCAGCUUACUGCUCCACCAUUCAACAUAUACACGUAUCCGGUUUGUGACUUAGAGUCAUCCAGAUCUGUGUCAAAGCUAGCGUCGACGUAACCCUUUACGACGAGCUCUUCGUCACCUCCAUAAACGAGAAACAUGUCCUUUGUCCUUUUCAGGUACUUCAGGAUAUUCUUGACCGAUGUCUAGUGUUCCUUGCCGGGAUUAGUUUGGUACCUUCCUACCAAACUUACGGCAAGGUUUACAUCAGGUCUGGUACACAACAUGGCAUACAUAAUAGAUCCUAUGGCUGAAGCAUAGGGGAUGACACUCAUCUCUUCUUUAUCUUUUGCCGUGGUCGGGCAUUGAGCCGAGCUCAAUCUCAUACCUUGCAACACAGGCAAGAACCCUUUCUUGGACUGAUCCAUUUUGAACUUCUUCAAAAUCUUAUCAAGGUAUGUGCUUUGUGAAAGACCUAUGAGGCGUCUCGAUCUAUCCCUAUAGAUCUUGAUGCCUAAUAUGUAAGCAGCUUCUCCAAGGUCCUUCAUUUAAAAACACUUAUUCAACUAGGCCUUAAUGCUGUCCAAAAGUUAUAUAUCAUUUCCCAUCAAGAGUAUGUCAUCUACAUAUAAUAUGAGAAAUGCUACAGAGCUCCCGGUCACUUUCUUGUAAACGCAGGCUUCUCCAUAAGUCUGCAUAAACCCAAACGCUUUGAUCAUCUCAUCAAAGCGAAUGUUCAAACUCCGAGAUGCUUGCACCAGCCCAUAAAUGGAUCGCUGGAGCUUGCAUACUUUGUUAGCAUUCUUAGGAUCGACAAAACCUUUCGGCUACAUCAUAUACAGUUCUUCCUUAAGAUGUCUGUUAAGGAAUGCCGUUUUGACGUCCAUCUGCCAUAUCUCAUAAUCAUAGUAUGCGGCAAUUGCUAACAUGAUUCGGACGGACCUCAGCUUCGCUACGGGAGAGAAUGUCUCAUCAUAGUCAACCCCUUGAACUUGUCAAUAACCCUUAGCGACAAGUCGAGCUUUAUAGAUGGUAACAUUACCAUCCGCGUCCGUCUUCUUCUUAAAGAUCCAUUUGUUUUCUAUCGCUCGCCGAUCAUCGGGCAAGUCUGUCAAAGUCCAUACUUUGUUUUCAUAAUGGAUUCUAUCUCGGAUCGCAUGGCUUCAAGCCAUUUGUUGGAAUCUGGGCCCUCCAUCGCUUCUUCAUAGUUCGAAGGUUCACUGUUGACUAACAACAUGAUUUCCAGGACAGGGUUGCCAUACCACUUUGGUGCGGAGCGUGUCCUUGUGGACCUACGAAGUUCAGUAGCAACUUGAUCCGAAGUACCUUGAUCAUCAUCAUUAUUUUCCUCUCCAGUUGGUGUUGGCAUCACAGGAACAUUUUCCUAAGCUGCGCCACUUUCCUGUUCAAGAGGUAGUACUUCAUUGAGUUCUACUUUCCUCCCACUUACUUCUUUCGAGAGAAACUCUUUUUCCAGAAAGGAUUCGUUCUUGGCAACAAAGAUCUUGCCCUUGGAUCUUAAGUAGAAGGUAUACCCAAUGGUUUCCUUAGGGUAUCCUAUGAAGACGCAUUUUUCCGACUUGGGUUCAAGCUUUUCAGGUUGAAGUUUCUUGACAUAAGCAUCGCAUCCCCAAACUUUUAGAAACGACAGCUUAGGUUUCUUCCCAAACCAUAAUUCAUACGGUGUCGUCUCAACGGAUUUAGACGGUGCCCUAUUUAAAGUGAAUGUAGCUGUCUCUAGAGCGUAUCCCCAAAAUGAUAGCGGUAAAUCAGUAAGAGACAUCAUAGACGGCACCAUAUCCAAUAGAGUGCGAUUACGACGUUCGGACACACCGUUACGCUGAGGUGUUCCAGGCGGCGUGAGUUGUGAAACGAUUCCACAUUUCCUUAAGUGCGUACCAAAUUCGUGACUUAAAUAUUCUCCUCCACGAUCUGAUCGUAGGAACUUUAUCUUUCGGUCACGUUGAUUCUCUACCUCAUUCUGAAAUUCCUUGAACUUUUCAAAGGUCUCAGACUUGUGUUUCAUUAAGUAGACAUACCCAUAUCUACUCAAGUCAUCAGUGAGAGUGAGAACAUAACGAUAUCCUCCGCGAGCCUCAACGCUCAUUGGACCGCACACAUCAGUAUGUAUGAUUUCCACUAAGUUGGUUGCUCGCUCUAUUGUUCCGGAGAACGGAGUCUUGGUCAUCUUGCCCAUGAGGCAUGGCUCGCAUGUGUCAAACGAUUCAUAAUCUAGAGACUCUAAAAGUCCAUCAGCAUGGAGCUUCGUCAUGCGCUUGACACCAAUGUGACCAAGGCGGCAGUGCCACAAGUAUGUGGGACUAUCGUUAUCAACUUUACAUCUUUUGGUAUUCACACUAUGAAUCUGUGUAACAUUACGCUCGAGAUUCAUUAAGAAUAAACCAUUAACCAUCGGGGCAUGACCAUAAAACAUAUCUCUCAUAUAAAUAGAACAACCAUUAUUCUCAGAUUUAAAUGAGUAGCCAUCUCAUAUCAAACGAGAUCCAAAUACAAUGUUCAUGCUCAAACUUGGCACUAAAUAACAAUUAUUAAGGUUUAAAACUAAUCCCGUAGGUAAAUGUAGAGGUAGCGUGCCGACGGCGAUCACAUCGACCUUGGAACCAUUCCCGACGCGCAUGGUCACCUCGUCCUUCGCCAGUCUCCGCUUAUUCCGCAGCUCCUGCUGUGAGUUACAAAUAUGAGCAACGGCACCGGUAUCAAAUACCCAGGAGUUACUAUGAGUACUGGUAAGGUACACAUCAAUUACAUGUAUAUCAAAUAUACCUUUAGUGUUGCCGGCCUUCUUGUCCGCUAAGUAUUUGGGGCAGUUCCGCUUCCAGUGACCCUUCCCUUUGCAAUAAAAGCACUCAGUCUCAGGCUUGGGUCCAUUGCUUGACUUCUUCCUGGCAACUGGCUUACCAGGCGCGGCAACAUCCUUGCCGUCCUUCUUGAAGUUCUUCUUACCCUUGCCCUUCUUAAACUUGGUGGUUUUAUUGACCAUCAACACUUGAUGUUCUUUCUUGAUUUCUACCUCUGCUGACUUCAGCAUUGAAAAUACUUCAGGAAUAGUUUUCACCAUCCCCUGCAUAUUGUAGUUCAUCACAAAGCUCUUGUAGCUCGGUGGGAGCGAUUGAAGGAUUCUGUCAAUGACCGCCUCGUCCGGAAGGUUAAUGUCCAGCUGGGACAGGUGGUUGUGCAACCCAGACAUUUUGAGUAUGUGCUCACUGACAGAACUAUUUUCCUCCAUCUUACAACUAUAGAACUUGUCGGACACUUCAUAUCUCUCGACCCGGGCAUGAGCUUGGAAAACCAUUUUCAGCUCCUCAAACAUCUCAUAUGCUCUGUGUUGCUCAAAACGCUUUUGGAGCCCCAGUUCUAGGCUGUAAAGCAUGCCGCACUGAACGAGGGAGUAAUCAUCAGCACGUGACUGCCAAGCGUUCAUAACGUCUUGGUUCUCUGGGAUGGGUGCUUCACCUAGCGGUCCAUCUAGGACAUAUGCUUUCUUGGCAGAUAUGAGGAUGAUCCUCAGGUUCCGGACCUAGUCCGUAUAGUUGCUGCCAUCAUCUUUCAGCUUGGUUUUCUCUAGGAACGCGUUGAAGUUCAUGUUGACAUGAGCGUUGGCCAUUUGAUCUACAAGACAUAUUUGCAAAGGUUUUAGACUAACGUUCAUGAUAAUUAAGUUCAUCUAAUCAAAUUAUUUAAUGAACUCCCACUCAGAUUAGACAUCCCUCUAGUCAUCUAAGUGUUACACGAUCCGAGUCGACUAGGCCGUGUUCGAUCAUCACGUGAGACGGACUAGUCAUCAUCGGUGAACAUCUCCAUGUUGAUCGUAUCUUCCAUACGACUCAUGUUCGACCUUUCGGUCUUUGUGUUCCGAGUCCAUGUUUGUACAUGCUAGGCUCGUCAAGCUAACCCUAAGUGUUUUUGCAUGUGUAAAACUUUCUUACACCCGUUGUAUGUGAACGUAAGAAUCUAUCACACCCGAUCAUCACGUGGUGCUUCGAAACGACGAACUUUAGCAACUGCGCACAGUUAGGGGAGAACACUUCUUGAAAUUAUUAUAAGGGAUCAUCUUAUUUACUACCAUCGUUCUAAGUAAACAAGAUGCAUAAACAUAAUAAACAUCACAUGCAAUUACAUAAUGGUGACAUGAUAUGGCCAAUAUCAUAUAGCUCCUUUGAUCUCCAUCUUCGGGGCUCCAUGAUCAUCUUCGUCACCGGCAUGACACCAUGAUCUCCAUCAUCAUGAUCUCCAUCAUCGUGUCUUCAUGAAGUUGUCACGCCAACGACUACUUGUACUUCUAUGGCUAACGCGUUUAGCAAUAAAGUAAAGUAAUUUACAUGGCGUUCUUCAAUGACACGCAGGUCAUACAAAAAAUAAAGACAACUCCUAUGGCUCCUGCCGGUUGUCAUACUCAUCGACAUGCAAGUCGUGAUUCCUAUUACAAGAACAUGAUCUCAUACAUCACAAUAUAUCAUUCAUCAUUCAUCACAACUUUGGCCAUAUCACAUCACAAGACACUAGCUGCAAAAACAAGUUAGACGUCCUCUAAUUGUUGUUGCAAGUUUUUACGUGGCUUCUAUAGGUGAUCUAGCAAGAACAUUUUCUUACCUACGUUAAAGCCACAACGUGAUUUGUCAACUUCUAUUUACCCUUCAUAAGGACCCUUUUCGUCGAAUCCGCUCCAACUAAAGUGGGAGAGACAGACACCCGCUAGCCACCUUAUGCAACUAGUGCAUGUCAGUCGGUGGAACCUGUCUCACGUAAGCGUACGUGUAAGGUCAGUCCGGGCCACUUCAUCCCACAAUACCGCUGAAGCAAAAUAAGACUAGUAGCGGCAAGAGAGUUGACAACAUCUACGCCCACAACAAAAUUGUGUUCUACUCGUGCAAUAGAGAACUACGCAUAGACCUAGCUCAUGAUGCCACUAUUGGGGAACGUUGCAGAAAAUUAAAAAAUUUCCUACGGUUUCACCAAGAUCCAUCUAUGAGUUCAUCUAAGCAACGAGUGAUAGGAGUGCAUCUACAUACCCUUGUAGAUCGCGAGCGGAAGCGUUCAAGAGAACGGGGAUGAUGGAGUCGUACUCGCCGUGAUCCAAAUCACCGAUGACCAAGUGCUGAACGGACAGCACCUCCGCGUUCAACACACGUACGGAGCGGAUGACGUCUCCUCCUUCUUGAUCCAGCAAGGGGGGAGGAGAGGUUGAGGAAGAAGACUCCAGCAGCAGCACGACGGCAUGGUGGUGGUGGAGAAGCAGUACUCUGGCAGGGCUUCGCCAAGCAACCGCGGGAGGAGGAAGAGGUGUAGCAAGGGGAGGGAGGCGCCAAGACUCAGGGUUGCGCCUGCCCUCUCUCCCCCCUCCUUUAUAUAGGCCCCCAAGGGGGGUAAUCGGCCCUAGAGAUGGGAUCUCUAGGGGAGGGCGGCGGCCAAGGGGGGUGGAGUGCCCCCCAAGGCAAGUGGAGGCGCCCCCUCCCCUAGGGUUCCCAACCCUAGGCGCGGAGGGGGGCCCAGGGGGGGCGCACCAGCCCACCAGGGGCUGGUCCCCUCCCCACUUCAGCCCACGGGGCCCUCCGGGAUGGGUGGCCCCACCCGGUGGACCCCCGGGACCCUUCCGGUGGUCCUGGUACAAUCCCGGGUGACCCUGAAACUUUCCCGAUGGCCGAAACAGCACUUCCUAUAUAUAAAUCUUCACCUCCAGACUAUACCGGAACUCCUCGUGACAUUCGGGAUCUCAUCCGGGACUCCGAACAACAUUCAGUAAUCACAUACGAAUCUUCCUAAUAAACCUAGCGUCACCGAAGCUUAAGUGUGUAGACCCUACGGGUUCGGGAAUCAUGCAGACAUGACCGAGACAGCUCUCCGGCCAAUAACCAACAGCGGGAUCUGGAUACCCAUGUUGGCUCCCACAUGUUACACGAUGAUUUCAUUGGAUGAACCACGAUGUCGAGGAUUCGAUCAACCCCGUAUACAAUUCCCUUUGUCAAUCGGUACGUUACUUGCCCGAGACUCGAUCAUCGGUAUCCCAAUACCUUGUUUAGUCUCGUUACCGGCAAGUCACUUUACUCGUACCGUAAUGCAUGAUCCCGUGACCAAACACUUGGUCACUUUGAGCUCAUUAUGAUGAUGCAUUACGAGUGGGCCCAGAGAUACCUCUCCGUCAUACGGAGUGACAAAUCCCAGUCUCGAUCCGUGUCAACCCAACAGACACUUUCGGAGAUACCUGUAGUGCACCUUUAUAGUCACCCAGUUACAUUGUGACGUUUGGUACACCCAAAGCACUCCUACGGUAUCCGGGAGUUACACGAUCUCAUGGUCUAAGGAAAGGAUACUUGACAUUGGAAAAGCUCUAGCAAACGAACUACACGAUCUUGUGCUAUGCUUAAGAUUGGGUCUUGUCCAUCACAUCAUUCUCCUAAUGAUGUGAUCCCGUUAUCAACGACAUCUGAUGUCCAUAGUCAGGAAACCAUGACUAUCUGUUGAUCAACAAGCUAGUCAAUUAGAGGCUUACUAGGGACAUAUUAUGGUCUAUGUAUUCACACGUGUAUUACGAUUUCCGGAUAAUACAGUUAUAGCAUGAAUAAAGACAAUUAUCAUGAAUAAGGAAAUAUAAUAAUAACCUUUUAUUAUUGCCUCUAGGGCAUAUUUCCAACAAGCUCCACCCACGAAGGUUCCACAAAGAAGCAACCUUGUCUAUCCCACCAUGGCUGUCGCCCACGAAGGACUUGCCUCACUAGCGGUAGAUCUUCACGAAGUAGGGGAUCUCCUUGCCCUUACAAACUCCUUGGUUCAACUCCACAAUCUUGUCGGAGGCUCCCAAGUGACACCUAGCCAAUCUAGGAGACACCACUCUCCAAGAAGUAACAAAUGGUGCAUUGAUGAUGAACUCCUUGCUCUUGUGCUUCAAAUGAUAGUCUACCCAACACUCAACUCUCUCUCAUAGGUUUUGGAUCUGGUGGAAAGAAGAUUUGAGUGGAAAGCAACUUGGGGAAGGCUAGAGAUCAAGAUUCAUAUGGUAGAAAUGGAAUAUCUUGGCCUCAACACAUGAGUAAGUGGUUCUCUCUCAGAAAUGGUAAGUUGGAAGUGUAGGUUCGUUCUGAUGGCUCUCUCCACGAAUGAAGAUGAGGUGGAGGGGUAUAUAUAGCAUCCACACAAAAUCUAACCGUUACACACAAUUUACCAAACUCGGUGGGACCGAAUCAUCAAACUCGGUCGGACCGAUUUAGUAAACCUAGUGACCGUUAGGAUUUUCGGUGGGACCGAAAUGCAACUCGGUAGGACCGAUAUGGUUAGGGUUAGGGCAUAACGUAAUCUCGGUAAGAUCGAUUACACAAACUCGGUAGGACCGAUUUUGGUAAUAAGCUUUCCAAAGAGCUGGUCAGGUAAACUCGGUGGGACCGAUUUGCUCUUUUCGGUGAGACCGAAAUGUUACAAAAGGGAAACAGAGAGUUUACAUUGCAAUCUCAGUGGGACCGAUCUCUCACUUCGGUUAGACCGAAACGUUACGAAGGGAAACAGAGAGAUUAUAAUCCCAUCUCGGUGAGACCGAGAUCCCUAUCAGUAGGACCGAUUUGCCUAGGGUUUGUGGCAGUGGCUAUGACAUUAGAACUCGAUGGCGUCGGAUAGGAAGAAUCGGUGUGACCGAUUUUGGCUUUAGGUUUAGGUCAUUUGUGGAUGUGAGAAAGUAGUUGAGGGUUUUUGGAGCAUAUCACCAAGCACAUGAAGCAAGAGGCUCAUUAAGCAACACCUCACCCCUCCUUGAUAGUAUUGGCUUUUCCUAUAGACUCAAUGUGAUCUUGGAUCACUAAAAUGUAAAAUGAAGAGUCUUGAGCUUUUGAGGUUGAGCCAAUCCUUUGUCAUUAGUAUUUUGAGGGAUCCACUUUCAUCAUCCAUGCCAUGCCAUUCAUUUAGCUUUCCUGAAAUAAUAGUCUUGGAAUAGUAUUAGCUCAAUGAGCUAUAUGUUGUUAUGAAUUACCAAAACCACCUAGGGAUAGUUGCACUUUCAGAAUGAGAAUGGUAACAUAGGUGAAGAUGAUGCUCUAGUACCACUAGUGGACAUUCUUGACAUUGAUUGCUUGCAUGAUGUUGAUCCACCUAUUACCAUGCUUCAUGCUAGUGUGACUUCCCCAUGCAAUGAUUUACCCAUUUAUGAUGAGUUUGAUUAUUGCCAUGUGGAGUCCAUUAAUUGUAAUGCCAUGUUACAUAGGAUUUCUUGUGACAAUUCUCUUGGUCACAUCAUGUUUGACAAUCCGCUUGACUUGUCACAUGCCAUACAUGAGAUCAACCAUAUGUCAUAUUUGCAAUCUCUUCAUAGUGACUCUGCAUAUGCCAUUAAAAUAAAACCAAUUUGCACAUAUGGCAUAGAUGACAAGCCCAUGGUUAUUGGCAUUUGUUUUUCUUGUGAUGAUGUUGAUAUGGUCCCUUUGCAUCAUUUAUCUCAUAUGCCAUGCCAUGAACACCUAGCUUCGGAUAUGCAUUGUUUUGGAUGUUGUCCAUUUUCUCCAUAUGAUGUUUCUGCUAUUGCUAAUGAGGAGACCACCAUAGUUUCCUCAUCCAUAUUAGGAGAUUUUGAUCCAUCCCAUCCAUUGCAUGAUUCAAUUGAUUGUGUGCACCAUAUGCAUCCCAUGAAUAAAAAUGCUCUUAUUGUGCCACACACUUGCUAUAAUUGUAUGCUCAAUUUGCAUCCCCAUCGUGUUAUACAUAGCAACUAUUCAUUCAUGAUGGAUGACAUGUUCUUAUACCAUGCAACAAAUUUCUUUGAGCAUUACUUAUCUUGUGCUAACUCACACGUGCACAUACACAUCAUCAUGGAUGAUGUGUACAUUUACCAUGCACACACUUUCUUUGGCUUGUUUCUAUUUUGUGUAGGUACCCAUACUUACUCGUCAACCUCGCAAGACCAUGAGUUGACGAAACGAGCUCUAGAGAUCAACGAUGCCUUGGGAACCCAUGAGUUGUGUCACCACCCGUUUCCUCCGUGCAACGACUCUGCGCAUUCCUUCUACAUGGCCCUCACAUGGUUAUGGGUUAUAUACCACUUCUCACUUUAUGCCCAUAUUGACAUGCUCACUUUGCAUGCUAUGCUUAUUUCUUUACAUUUGUCAUGCAUUUGUGCCCCGUGCUUUGCAUUACACAUGAUGAUUGAUUUAGUACUUGCAUGUGUAUUUGCAAGCUUGGUGGAUAUAUUACUUGUUAUUGCCAUGUUCCAUUUGUGCCACAUUCCUACGAUGAUACUAUGAUCUUGCUUUGUGCUUGUGCUCGGGAUAUGUCAUGUGCAUUACCUAUAUCUAUUAUUUGCUCACAUGACAUGCUUGCCAUGCUUUCCUCUAGUGUGUUGCAUCUUUGCUCGACUAGUUUGCACGACUUGAUUUCUAUGCUUCUUCAUGUUGCAUCCCAUUCUUGGAUUACUUGAUCAUAUCAUAUGUUUGGUUGCAACAAUGUCAUUACUUCACAUAUGCCAUGUCCCAUUGCUUGUCACAUGAUUGAUUUGAUUGCCUCACACAUGAUGAACAAUUGCUCUUUCUAUCGUGUUGAGUGCCACACAAUUUUCACUACACCCUAUGCACAUUAUGCUUGGAUUGUCUUGCACUUACCCCAUGUGUUUAGAUAUUUCAUUUCAUUUGGUGUUGUGAAUGACUCUUAUGCCUACCAUAGAACGUUCAUUAAGAGUCUUAUGCAUGAUUGCUAUGACCUUGAGGUAGAUGCUUAUUCUCUUGAAACACAUAUUUGCAUCGCUACCUCACAUUUACAUGCUUGUUUGCAUGAUGUCCUUGAUUUGGCUCAAUUUAUGUGCUUACAUGACAUGUCACAACCCCUUGUCACACCAUAUGCUAUGCUUGAUGACGACACUUGUUUGGUGAAUCACCUCUUGAAUGCUUGGUUUUGCACUAACGCUAACCACAUUUGUUUUUCCAUGUGUUUGUUGUCCUUGCUCCUUUUGAAGGAAUCACAAGACGGUGCAACAUUGGAGAGUGCCCAUUUCAAGCUUCAACAUGAUAAGUGCUUGGUGGUUGUACACUCCUACACGGCGACGCCCUCUCUUUCCCAUGGUGAUGAAGAUCACGAUCCAUGGACAGAUCUCUCCCAAGGGAGGGAGAUGAUGCGGAGCAUCCCUCAUUCAUCCCCAUGGACGUUCUGUCACCACCGCAAGCACGAAGAGUACCAAUGACAAGAGUCCGCGCAUGCGUCAUCGAAACUGAGGUUGACUCCUUCCUCUUUUAACUCCAUUCGAAUUCACACGAGAAUCGGGUUCUACCUCAAACAGCAUUAUUGUGCAUUCUUAGGUACCAAGAAGAAGUCCAUGAAGAAGCUAGGAGGGAGACCCAAGCACAUAUGGAGGAGGAGAAGGAAGGAGAACGCCCGAAGCGUGAAGACUCGGAGGCUCUGGAACCCCCAGGUGCCGGACCCUCCAUGCCCCCGGUGCCCAGGCCUUCGGCCGCCGGCUGGGCGUUGACCCUGGCCACUCCGGUUGCCCGGCCCCCCCUGCCUGGGCGCGGCGCCAUCGCCUCGGGUGCCCGGCCUUCCACCGCUGGCCCUCCCAACCGAGUGCCUGGGCCACUACCCAUGGGUGCCCGGCCUCCCCCACCUGGCGCUGACUUGGGCCGCCCCGGGUGCUCGGCCCUCCUUCAGCCGCAGCCCAUCGCACCCCUGACCACCCCGGGUGCCCGGGCCUCAUACCCCCGGGUGCAUGGACCCCUCUUCCGUGCCUGCGAGCAUUUUUAGGUUUUGACCCUUGUAUACCCCCUUUCUCUCACAACUCGUCCCUAGGCUAUAUAAACUCCUCCCCUAGCUCAUUUGGAAGGAUAGCAAAGUAUAUGCCAUGAUUUAGUGAGCUUUGCUCCUUGUACCUCCUUUAGAGAGAGAGAGAGAGAGAGAGAGAGGCCUCUCCCAUGGAGAUCAAGACCUAUGGAGAAUAUCCCUAGUGCCCCCCCAUCUUGGGAAAGAUCCCCAUCAUAGGAUUAUCAAGACCUCUCUCCUCAUAGGAUUGGAAUGAACUAGUUACCUUGUAUCUUUCCUUUGUUGUCCUUCAAUCAUUGUGACCUCUUGUGUGUUCUUGGAUCUAGCAUAUCUAUGAUUGGAUCUAGUCAAUUUGAGUGUUUUCCCUCUCUUGUGUUCUUCGUGUUCUUGGGGAUUUCCCCUCCAAUUCGUGAAAGAUCUCCAUCUAGGUUUUCACCCUACAACAGGUCACCUCGGAGCCACAUUCCAUUGUGGUGAAGCUUCGUGGUGGUGUUGGAAGCCUCCAAUUCGGUUAUGGAGAUUGCCCCAACCUUGUUUGUAAAGCUCUGGUUGUCGCCUUCAAGGGCACCGCUAGUGGAAUCACGACAUCUCGCAUUUGUGUGAGGGCGUGAGGAGAAUAUGAUGUUCCUAGUGGCUUCUUGCGGAGCACUAUGCCUCCACCCUACUCCAACGGAUACGUACUUACUCUCAAAGGGAAAGAACUUUGGUAACACAUCCUUGUCUUCACCGGCUCCACUUGUGGUUACUUCUUACCUUUACUUUGUGCAAGCUUUAUUUGUGUUGUAUCCUUUGCUUGCUUGUGUUAUUGUUGUUGCUAGCAUCAUAUAGGUUGCUCACCUAGUUUCACUUCUAGACAACCUAUUUGUUGCUAAACCUAAUUUGUUACGAAAAUCUAAAAAAAGGUAUUUGCCUAUUCACCCCCCCCCCUUCUAGUCAACCAUAUCGAUCCUUUCAGACAUGCUCGCCGAGGUCCGCCAGCCAGUCGACGCACUCCUUGAGUCUGGUGAAGUAGGAGAGGAUGGAGGAGGAGCGUUGGUAGAUGCGGCAGAACUCGGUGGCGAGCACGACCAGCCGGUGCUCGUGGUUCUCUAGGAAGAUGGAGUAGAUGGAAUCCCGGACUUCGGCAACGGUGGCACCACGCUAUUGUACUAGGCCGAAGAUCUCAGGGCUGACCCUGUUGUACUGCCAUGAGAGGACGUAUGCGUCGUCCUGGAGCCAUGCGGCGUCCGAGCAGCAUGAGGACCCAGUGAGGUGGUCAGUGACACCGGACUUCUGGAACUGCACAUCGAAAAGAGUACGUCAUUGGGAGAAUUUGGGAGGAUUGAGUCUAAGCAUGAUAGGGACGUGCUGGUUGAUGAAAACGUCGGCGAGCAGCGACUGGUUGGGCAGCGCUGAGGAGGAGCUCGCCUCGAGAUCACGGCGAGCGAGCAGCACGCCCUGUGCAAGGGCAUCAGGGGUGAGGAGCGGCAUGGAGCGGAUGGGGCUCAGGGCGCCGCCGCUCAGCUCGGAGGGUGGCGGAGGGGAAGGAGUCGGUGGUGGUGGCGGAGGGAUUGCCAUAGCCGAGAGCGGGAUGCAACGGAAGGGAGGUUUAGAGGAACAUGGUAACUGAUACCAUGUAGAGUAGUAUUGCGGGAGAGAAGAUGCACCUUGGGUGCUCUCAUUCCAUACAUAUGAAUAUAUAGUACAUGUACACAGCGCAAUGGCGCACAGAGAGAGUUGGGCGACGUGCGCAUGCAGAGAGAUCGUGGGCAGGUACAUGGAUACCAUGUAUGUGCAUGGGAUCGUCAUGCAACUGCUAACACCAGGGAUCAAGCCCUAACAAAUUAACUUGAUUACAUGACAAAUCUCAUCGAACUCCAUCACCGGCCAGCAAGCCUACGAAGGAAUUACUUACUCCAACUGGUGAGUAUUAUGGAAUUGUUGAUGGAAGGAUAGAUGAUGACGACGGCGAUGAAUCCCCCUCUCCGGAAUCCCGAACGGACUUCAGACAAGCCUGUGGAUGAAGAACAGGAGCUGACGGCGGCUCUGUAUCGUAAAAAGCGAUGAUUCCUUCUCACUGUUUUUUUCUCCGCGAGAUGGUACUUAUGGAGUUGAAGUUAGGGCUAACGGAGGCUUAUGGGACCCACGAGCUCACAGGGCGCGCCCCCUGAGCUCGUAGCUCUCUGGUAGCCCCCCUCCAUUAGUUCUCUUCGCCAUUAUUUUUUCAUAUAUUCUGAAAAUAAUCUUCGUAUAUUUUUAGCCCAAUAUGAAAACUUUUAUUUCUACACAAAUAUAAUUUUUAUUUCUGCACAAAAAUAACACCUGGUAGUUAUGCUGAAAACAUUGUCAGUCUGGGUUAGUUUCAUUCAAAUAAUGCAAAAUAGAGUCCAAAGCAAGAGCAAAAGUGUUUGAAAAAGUAGAUAUGUUUGGAACGUAUCAAGGGGCAUGGGAGUGGCGCUCAAGAUGGCAACGGGCCCCGAAACCCGUAUCCCCGCGGUUUUUUACCCUAUUAGGGGACGGGGAUGGGCGUCUUUUCAUCCCCGCGGGGCUGUUGCUAGGCACAUUAUACAACCCGACAUGUUUCGUGGGUUUACACCUGUUUUGAUAGUCCCGAAACACGAAACCCGACAAUACCUGGCAAAAUAUGAUCUUGUUCGUUGUUGAAAUAUGCUUAUCUUUGUUGCUGAAAUAGGGUAUUGUAUUGUGCUAAAAAUGGUACUUGUAGUUGUUAUUUCUCUUUGUUCUCAAGUUAUGCUACUGGAAUAUGCUCCUUGUAGCUGUUGAACUAUGUACUAUUGUAUUGUGCUAAAAUUUACUCAAGUUAUGCUACUGAAAUAUGCUCUUUUUGUUGCUGAGAUGCUAUUUUUUUUGUUGCUAAUAUGAUUGCUUAAAUAUAUCGAUUUCCCCGUGGGUUUAGAAAACCCAACGGGUUUAUGGGAUGGGCAAAAGGCUAGCCCCGCAGACGUUGACAGGGACGGGGACGGGUUUGUGAUUUUCUCGUGGGGGUGGGUUUGGAUAGGCAAAACCCGAUGGGUUUCGUCCCUGUUGUCAUCUUAAAGGGGCGCCGACUAUUGAGUGAGAGAAAAGAUCAACCCUAAGAGGUGUGUCCACUCUUUUUUAUAUAGACCUUCGAGGUGGACUCAACACUUGAACCCACUAGAAGUUUACAUCCAUUUUCCACUCGAAUCCAAUCCAAAUGGGCUACAUCCCCUUAAGUGUGCGACCCUAUAGAUUCACGUACACAUGAACACGAGCAUAUAGUUGAUAGCGUCUCCUAGCAGAACAUGUCAAAUCCUUAAGUGUGCGACCCUAUAGGUUCACGUACACAUGAACACGAGCAUAUAGUUGAUAGCGGCUCCUAGCAGAACACGUCAAAUCCCAUGCGUGUGUAAAGCUGUUUGACAAACCUCGACAAUGUGUCGUAUGCAACAUUAAUUGUGCCUCACAAUAUAUGUUAUCAAGCUCAAGGCAAGUACUUACCACUCUUGGUAGGGUCGUCGACCCUCUUCUCAAAACCGUGAUUACGAGUUUUAGUUCAGUGACCAACCAUGCGUUUAUCAUAUCAUCCUUCAUCAUAUACAGCUAAAACUACAAACUAUGCUCUGAAUGAAAGAGAAGACAACCACUUGCAUAGUAUCGGACUUAUGAUCUCGUCAUACAUGUUAAUCAAAACAAAAUCACUAGGGUUAAAACAAAACCAGACGAGUUAACAGAAAUUUUAUGAAGCCUCAUAUGUCUAAUUAAAGGACUUAUAGAUAAUAGUACAGCAAAUAUAUAGCUCAAAGAUAUUUUAAACCAAGCACAGCCAGCUCUACAAACGACUGCCUUUAAAGUUCAAACCAGAAAAUUCUUCAUGAUAGAGUGCAGGAUACGAGAACGUAUUACAACUCAUAUCAUGCUCUAGGACACUUGUGCAGCCACCAAGCGGGUGGAGAGCGUUCGGAGACACUCUCAAUUUGUGACUCCCCCAUGAAGACACUCUCAAUUUGUGACUCCCCCAUGAUAACUGGCCACAGAAAAAUCUCCAAACUUGUUGCAAUCCCUGAAUCAUCUCUGAAAUAGUACUGAGGCAUCCUCAGCUCCUCUCUGUCAUCAUAGAAGUAGACGUUAAGAACUUCAUCACCAACUUCAUAACAUCUUGAGCACCCAUGACCGAUGAAUACUUUGUGACCAGGUAAAUCAUCUUGCUCAAUCCAGCGGAGCUGGUCAUCCUUGUCUUCGAGCUUGAAGACUCUUAUUCGCUCAGUCCGAUGACCCACAAUGUAUCUGAUUACCAUCAGGAGCCUGUUUGCACUGGAACAAGGUACCGCCAUAUUUGUUGGCCUUGUUCCACCAAAAAUCUGUCUGCUGGAAAGUCAUCCCGCAACAUAACUCCAAGUCCUAACACUGGCUGCACAAUCUGAUUGCGAUCAAAGACCAGCUUCACAACUUCUUCAUCGUUGGUCAAGAGAUAAAAAGAGUCAUCCCUGUGGACUACAUCCAGCAGCUCAUCAUCAAGUGGCACGUAGUUCCCCACUGCAUUUUCCAUCCUGUGACCUCCGAUAUACUCGCAAUCCUCCCACAGUUCCAUCGACUGGUUACAAUAAGCUGCACGCUCAAAUGGGCUAUCUAAGGGACGCACAAUAGCAACCACCACAAACCCAUUGGGAGAACCUAGGCAGCCAGCUAUAGCACCUACCCUCACUUCAACAUCAACUCUUCCCCCAUGAGAAGACAUUUGCUGUGGAAGAGGGAUAACGCGUCCAAUGCUCAAGUUGUAGAGUCGGUUCCUAUGUAGUAUAGCUUCUUUUUCAUCAGCCUCAAUCUUGUUUACUAGGGUUUUGGUGUCAUCGGCCAGAAGAAUCCAAUCGCCUUCAUGUGCUCCAGUGAUUCGUUUAGCUCUCCUGACACUGUCCGGGAGGCGAAGUCGAUGUACGGCUUGUCCAUCAGUGCUGUAAUAGGUAGGUUUCGUGGUUGAUGGCAAUAUAAGCCAUGGCAGCUGCAUGGGCCUUUUUCCACCAUCUACCUUUGCCUUCCAAAACUUGUUCGCACAACGAAGGCGAGCCCAAUCACCACGGCAAGAAAUAUGAUUCAGCAGCUUCUCUAUCACAUCCAACGGCAACUCUGAUAGUCCUGUCUUUGUGGCACCGGGUUCAGC